AUUGAACGCUGGCGGCAUGCCUUACACAUGCAAGUCGAACGGCAGCACGGGAGCAAUCCUGGUGGCGAGUGGCGAACGGGUGAGUAAUGUAUCGGAACGUACCUUUCAGUGGGGGAUAACGUAGCGAAAGUUACGCUAAUACCGCAUAUUCUGUGAGCAGGAAAGCAGGGGAUCGCAAGACCUUGCGCUGAUUGAGCGGCCGAUAUCAGAUUAGCUAGUUGGUGAGGUAAAGGCUCACCAAGGCGACGAUCUGUAGCGGUUCUGAGAGGAUGAUCCGCCACACUGGAACUGAGACACGGUCCAGACUCCUACGGGAGGCAGCAGUGGGGAAUUUUGGACAAUGGGGGCAACCCUGAUCCAGCCAUGCCGCGUGUGUGAAGAAGGCCUUUUGGUUGUAAAGCACUUUAAGCGAGGAGGAGGCUCCUAUAGUUAAUACCUAUAGUGAGUGGACGUUACUCGCAGAAUAAGCACCGGCGUAACU
Molecule: ribosomal RNA, 481 nt
Filed under: uncultured bacterium
Lineage: Bacteria
Description: bacterial SSU rRNA
Rfam family: Bacterial small subunit ribosomal RNA
Source: RNAcentral